Molecule: long non-coding RNA, 532 nt
Organism: Oncorhynchus tshawytscha (Chinook salmon)
Lineage: Eukaryota; Metazoa; Chordata; Actinopteri; Salmoniformes; Salmonidae
Source: Ensembl
CUGUAACCCAGCAUUUGUUAGACCGUGUGAUGUCACAAUGGCUAGAGUGAAGAAUGACCUGCUAAGUACUACUGUAGAGGUCAUUAUCCUUCACAUGUCACAAUAAGAUGAAGAAUGACCUGUUAAGAACUACUGUAGAGGUCAUUAUCCUUCACGUGUCACAAUAAGAUGAAGAAUGACCUGUUAAGAGCUACUGUAGAGGUCAUUAUCCUUCACGUGUCACAAUAAGGUGAAGAAUGACCUGCUAAGUACUACUGUAGAGGUCAUUAUCCUUCACGUGUCACAAUAAGAUGAAGAAUGACCUGCUAAGUACUACUGUAGAGGUCAUUAUCCUUCACAUGUCACAAUCAGAUGAAGAAUGAGCUGUUAAGUACUACUGUAGGGGUCAUUAUCCUUCACGUGUCACAAUAAGGUGAAGAAUGUUCCAUUUGCCUGGGGGCCCCCAGCUCCACUAAAACCAUUGACAUCUGCGUGCCGUUUUUCAAGGGGUUAUUAAAUACAUGUUAUAACUAUUUCUUUAUAAUAUUAUAAU